Molecule: ribosomal RNA, 492 nt
Filed under: uncultured bacterium
Lineage: Bacteria
Description: partial 16S ribosomal RNA
Rfam family: Bacterial small subunit ribosomal RNA
Source: RNAcentral
AGUGAACGCUGGCGGUAGGCCUAACACAUGCAAGUCGAACGGCAGCACAGUAAGAGCUUGCUCUUACGGGUGGCGAGUGGCGGACGGGUGAGGAAUACAUCGGAAUCUACUUUUUCGUGGGGGAUAACGUAGGGAAACUUACGCUAAUACCGCAUACGACCUACGGGUGAAAGCAGGGGAUCUUCGGACCUUUCGCGAUUGAAUGAGCCGAUGUCGGAUUAGCUAGUUGGCGGGGUAAAGGCCCACCAAGGCAACGAUCCGUAGCUGGUCUGAGAGGAUGAUCAGCCACACUGGAACUGAGACACGGUCCAGACUCCUACGGGAGGCAGCAGUGGGGAAUAUUGGGCAAUGGGCGCAAGCCUGAUCCAGCCAUACCGCGUGAGUGAAGAAGGCCUUCGGGUUGUAAAGCCCUUUUGUUGGGAAAGAAAAGCAGCAGGUUAAUACCCCGCUGUUCUGACGGUACCCAAAGAAUAAGCACCGGCUAACUUCGUG